AGUGAACGCUGGCGGUAGGCCUAACACAUGCAAGUCGAACGGCAGCACAGGAGAGCUUGCUCUCUAGGUGGCGAGUGGCGGACGGGUGAGGAAUACAUCGGAAUCUGCCCAGUCGUGGGGGAUAACGUAGGGAAACUUACGCUAAUACCGCAUACGACCUUCGGGUGAAGGAGGGGGAUCGCAAGACCUCUCGCGAUUGGAUGAGCCGAUGUCGGAUUAGCUAGUUAGCGGGGUAAUGGCCCACCAAGGCGACGAUCCGUAGCUGGUCUGAGAGGAUGAUCAGCCACACUGGAACUGAGACACGGUCCAGACUCCUACGGGAGGCAGCAGUGGGGAAUAUUGGACAAUGGGCGCAAGCCUGAUCCAGCCAUACCGCGUGGGUGAAGAAGGCCUUCGGGUUGUAAAGCCCUUUUGUUGGGAAAGAAAUCUUUCAGGCUAAUACCCUGGGAGGAUGACGGUACCCAAAGAAUAAGCACCGGCUAACUUCGUG
This 490-nucleotide ribosomal RNA is filed under the name uncultured bacterium. RNAcentral describes it as "partial 16S ribosomal RNA". It matches the Rfam family "Bacterial small subunit ribosomal RNA", at positions 29 to 507 of the family's 1533-position model. The record is from RNAcentral.